This 565-nucleotide ribosomal RNA is filed under the name Fusarium solani. RNAcentral's name for it is "eukaryotic LSU rRNA". The stretch from base 181 to 334 matches the Rfam family "5.8S ribosomal RNA". The record is from RNAcentral. Lineage: Eukaryota; Fungi; Ascomycota; Sordariomycetes; Hypocreales; Nectriaceae.
UCCGUAGGUGACCUGCGGAGGGAUCAUUACCGAGUUAUACAACUCAUCAACCCUGUGAACAUACCUAAACGUUGCUUCGGCGGGAACAGACGGCCCCGUAACACGGGCCGCCCCCGCCAGAGGACCCCCUAACUCUGUUUCUAUAAUGUUUCUUCUGAGUAAAACAAGCAAAUAAAUUAAAACUUUCAACAACGGAUCUCUUGGCUCUGGCAUCGAUGAAGAACGCAGCGAAAUGCGAUAAGUAAUGUGAAUUGCAGAAUUCAGUGAAUCAUCGAAUCUUUGAACGCACAUUGCGCCCGCCAGUAUUCUGGCGGGCAUGCCUGUUCGAGCGUCAUUACAACCCUCAGGCCCCCGGGCCUGGCGUUGGGGAUCGGCGGAGCCCCCCGCGGGCACACGCCGUCCCCCAAAUACAGUGGCGGUCCCGCCGCAGCUUCCAUUGCGUAGUAGCUAACACCUCGCAACUGGAGAGCGGCGCGGCCACGCCGUAAAACCCCCAACUUCUGAACGUUGACCUCGAAUCAGGUAGGAAUACCCGCUGAACUUAAGCAUAUCAAUAAGCGGAGGA